UACGUAAGGGUGCAAGCGUUAAUCGGAAUUACUGGGCGUAAAGCGUGCGCAGGCGGUUUUGUAAGUCUGUCGUGAAAUCCCCGGGCUCAACCUGGGAAUUGCGAUGGAGACUGCAAGGCUAGAAUCUGGCAGAGGGGGGUAGAAUUCCACGUGUAGCAGUGAAAUGCGUAGAGAUGUGGAGGAACACCGAUGGCGAAGGCAGCCCCCUGGGUCAAGAUUGACGCUCAUGCACGAAAGCGUGGGGAGCAAACAGG
This 254-nucleotide ribosomal RNA is filed under the name uncultured bacterium. Its description in RNAcentral is "partial 16S ribosomal RNA". It matches the Rfam family "Bacterial small subunit ribosomal RNA", at positions 524 to 776 of the family's 1533-position model. The record is from RNAcentral.